This 515-nucleotide ribosomal RNA is filed under the name uncultured cyanobacterium. RNAcentral's name for it is "bacterial SSU rRNA". It matches the Rfam family "Bacterial small subunit ribosomal RNA", at positions 88 to 636 of the family's 1533-position model. The record is from RNAcentral. Lineage: Bacteria; Bacillati; Cyanobacteriota.
GGGUUUAGUGGCGGACGGGUGAGUAACGCGUGAGAAUCUGCCUCUAGGUCGGGGACAACAACUGGAAACGGUUGCUAAUACCCGAUGUGCAGCAAUGUGAAAGAUUUAUUGCCUAGAGAUGAGCUCGCGUCUGAUUAGCUAGUAGGUGUGGUAAUGGCGCACCUAGGCGACGAUCAGUAACUGGUCUGAGAGGAUGACCAGUCACACUGGGACUGAGACACGGCCCAGACUCCUACGGGAGGCAGCAGUGGGGAAUUUUCCGCAAUGGGCGAAAGCCUGACGGAGCAAUACCGCGUGAGGGACGAAGGCUUUUGGGUCGUAAACCUCUUUUCCCUGAGAAGAAGAUCUGACGGUAUCAGGGGAAUCAGCAUCGGCUAACUUCGUGCCAGCAGCCGCGGUAAUACGAGGGAUGCAAGCGUUAUCCGGAAUUAUUGGGCGUAAAGCGUCCGCAGGUGGCUCUGUAAGUCUGUCGUUAAAGAAUGGGGCUCAACCCCAUACAGGCGAUUGGAAACUAC